GAUUUUAGGUUUUUAUCAUAGAUAAAUUAAAAGGGAAAGAGGUGUAUAUUCCUCUACAGCCCCCGCUACUGUAAUGUGGACGAAACUCGAUUAUAUCACUGUAAUAUUUAGAUAUUAUGGGAAGAUGAGGAGUAGGAUGAAGCUAAGUCAGGAGACCUGCCUAGAAUUGAAA
This 172-nucleotide non-coding RNA is filed under the name uncultured Terrisporobacter sp. The record is from RNAcentral. Lineage: Bacteria; Bacillati; Bacillota; Clostridia; Peptostreptococcales; Peptostreptococcaceae.